RNAcentral lists this long non-coding RNA (238 nucleotides) under Lathyrus oleraceus (garden pea). Its description in RNAcentral is "Pisum sativum (pea) long non-coding RNA (PSAT_LNC016607)". The record is from RNAcentral. Lineage: Eukaryota; Viridiplantae; Streptophyta; Magnoliopsida; Fabales; Fabaceae.
UAAAUCUCAUCAAAUACUUCAUCUAUUCCUCCUCUUUUAUCAGUCUUGUUUCUAGGUGUAAGACUAUUAUUUUAUUGAAGAUCUUGUAGUUGGAUAUCUAAGUCUGAAUGAAUUAUUGACUUUGUAAAUUCAUCCAAAACGAGACAAUCUUCAUCUUGCAUUAUGGCUCUUUCCCCACAUAUCUUUUUCACCUCUAUUGCUUCCAUUCUUGCUUCUAUUUUUCUUAUCCUAUGUUGUG